Molecule: long non-coding RNA, 1885 nt
Filed under: Salmo salar (Atlantic salmon)
Lineage: Eukaryota; Metazoa; Chordata; Actinopteri; Salmoniformes; Salmonidae
Description: lncRNA (ENSSSAG00000088990.1)
Source: RNAcentral
UGAAAGGCCAAGGCAGGACACAGAGGAAGAGCCAGGAUGGCCAACAACAGUCUGCUUUCAUUAAGAACAGUAGAGCACCCAAACAGAGUCGGCUCUGGUGGGUCACAUUGUGUUGGGAGAAGGUUCAAAGACAUGUUAUUGAUAACAAUAAAAAGUUGUCUCUGUGCAGUGUUGAUAAAUGGAGGUAAAAGUCCUAGAGCCAGAGCAGGAAUGAGCUUUUUUCCCAGCCAUUCCCAGGAGUUCUAUAGUUGCCAUGGUGCCAAGUGGCAGCCUAGGCAGAGAGCUCAACGACCCAAUAGGAAGCUAUGUAUGUAGAGUUGGCAGUGUGCCAGGGGUUUCAUUGCUCAGGAGGAUACUUCUGAAGUAAGGACUGAGUGAGCUGUGCUUUUCGGGGAACAAACUUCACCACAGAGUCUCAAUACAGAGAAGACAGCAGAGAGGCUUGGAUGACAUGGAGCUGCCUGCCUGCCUGCCUGCCUGCCUGCCUGCCUGCCUGCCUGCCUGCCUGCCUGCCUGCCUGCCUGCCUGCCACCACCUCCGACCAUACCUCUGCUGACCAUCUACCUAUGAGCUUCCAGAUCCUCUCAUGACCGUGGCUGCCCAUCUGGAAGCUUCAAGAAGUACUCAGACAGACUUGAUCUAGCUGAUCUAGCUACUGUUGUAGCCUGUAUUUUCCUCAACAUUUAAACAUUUCGAUUUUAUGUGAACGUCUUAAUAAUCUAAAUGUGUUUAUUGUGUGUGUUACUGCAAUUCAGCUUUAAGCUGCCAUAGUACACAUGAAAGGAAAUUCAAAUAUACCAUUAUCAUCAUCAUUUCUGAGUCAAAUUGCAACCCCAAAUCUACCGCUCAGAUUAUUAUUUUUUUAAAUACAUUACUUAAAGAAUAUAAGCCAAGUGUGAAAUUAACUAUUCAAAACAGUACUGUAGUAAUGAGGAUUGUGCAGUAGGCUAUAGGCUCAAUACAUUAUCACCACAUAUUGUCUUUGCUUGAAUUGACCUGCCAAUGCCUUCUUGUUCUUCUCACACCAUUUCCAAAUGAUAUUUCAAAACUUGAGAUAGGACCUACACUAUAUGAUCACACUAGUCAUAGAUUGUUGUUUUACAUGUGAGGCACAACUGAGUGAGCAAACAUUUAAAUUAUUUUUGUAUUGUUUUACUGGGCUGAUGGUGCUGUAUCUGAUGGUCAGCCUCAGUGGAGGGAGGGAGAGAGCAGCAGAUGGUCUGACUCUCACCGUCUCUACACUCUCCCUUCCUCCGCUGAGACUGACCAAAGAGGGGACACUGUCUUCCAGCUGACGGCAAAACUCGAGUCGCACCGCAUUAUUUCUGCCUCAUGCACAAAUUGAUGCUUUUACUCCUAUGAGAAAGUGAACUAUUCCUGGAUAUUAAAGGGAUACUCCAGGAUACUGGAAUUGGAGCCCUUAUCUACUUCCCCAGAUUCAGAUGAACUCAUGGAUACCUCAUGGUUAUGUCUCUGUGUGCAGUUUGAAGGAUGUUGCUAACUAGCAUUAGCGCAAUCGCUAACUAGUGUUAACGCAAUGACGAUGGUAACUGCUAGCAUGCUAUUAGAUACCAUAGACUUCAAGUCAUUGCGCUAACGCUAGCUAACAUUGGCUCACAAAACUACCUCUCACUUAUUGCAUGCUGGAUGCAGCUACAUACAAAUGGUAUCCGUGAGUUUAUCUGACUCUGGGGAAGUUCAUAAAGACUUAAUUGUCAAAUCCAGAAGUAGCCCUUUUAAAAAGACACAAGCUGCUAAUAAUAACAACUCAAGCCUUUCAAUACACUUCACUACUCAUUCAUUGCAGCUGCAGUGCUGGUGGAAGAGUGAGUGGAAGUAGUUUUAUGGCAUAUAAAAGUGUUGAAUAAAGUUUUGUACAGUGCUG